UCUCAAAGAUUAAGCCAUGCAUGUGUCAGUGCAAGCCUUCUUUUACGGUGAAACCGCGAAUGGCUCAUUAAAUCAGUCAUAAUCCGUUGGACUUUAUGGAACCGUGUCCUUACUCGGAUAACUGUGGUAAUUCUAGAGCUAAUACGUGCCACGAGUUCCCAAAGUGCGUACUCCACCAUGAGUAGGACGCAAUUAUUAGAACCAAAAAUUGUACCGAAUCCUUACUUGGUGUAAAACUUGGUGAAUCUGGAUAAUACUGCAGAGCGCUUAUUUUGUGCCGGCGCCCGACCUUUGAAGAGUCUGCCCUAUCAGCUUGAUUGUAGAUUAAAUGUCUACAAUGGCUAUAACGGGUAACGGGGAAUCAGGGUUCGAUUCCGGAGAGGGAGCCUGAGAAACGGCUACCACAUCUAAGGAAGGCAGCAGGCACGCAAAUUGCUCAAUCUUAGCUCGAGGAAGCAGUGACAAAAUAUCUUGAUGCGGGACUCUUCCGAGGCCUCGCAAUCAGGAUGCGUUUACUUUAAAGCAGUAAACUGAACGCAAUUGGAGGGCAAGUCUGGUGCCAGCAGCCGCGGUAAUUCCAGCUCCAAUAGCGUAUAUUUAAGUUGCUGCGGUUAAAAAGCUCGUAGUUGGACUUUAUACUCAGGCAGCCAGUCCUCGCUCAUGAGGUUCUUACUGCGUCUGUGACUGAGUGUAUAUGAGACCGUCGAUACUUUUUAAUCUAUAAUUGUUGGUGCAAUUGAGUUAGGUACAUUCGUUAUAAAAGUUUCGACUCUAUCACUUUGAAAAAAUUAGAGUGCUCAAAGCACUCAUUGCAUAAUUGCCUGAAUGGUAGUGCAUGGAAUGAUGGAAGAUGAUCUCUACCUCGUUAAGCUUAAGGGCAUCAAUUUUUUUAUCUUUGCACCAGGUAAAGAUUCGAGGUUUGAGAUAAUGAUUAAAGGGAACUGCCGGGGGCGUUUGUAUUACGGCGCUAGAGGUGAAAUUCUUGGACCGUCGUAAGACAAACUACUGCGAAAGCAUUCGCCAAGAAUGUUUUCAUUAAUCAAGAACGAAAGUUAGAGUUUAGAAGGAGAUCAGAUACCUCCCUAUUUCUAACCGUAAACUAUGCUAACCGGUUGUCCGUCGGAAGUCAUUUCCGAUGGACGAGCGACCCCAGGGAAACCAGAGUUUCUGAGUUCCGGGGGAAGUAUGGUUGCAAAGCUGAAACUUAAAGGAAUUGACGGAAGGGCACCACCAGGAGUGGAGCCUGCGGCUUAAUUUGACUCAACACGGGAAAACUCACCAGGCCCAGAAACAUUUAGGAUUGACAGAUUGAAAGCUCUUUCAUAAUUAUGAGGAUGGUGGUGCAUGGCCGUUCUUAGUUGGUGGAGCGAUCUGUCUGGUUAAUUCCGAUAACGAACGAGAUUCUUAUUUACUAAAUAGAAGGUAGAUCUGAUCCCGAAAGUUUUUUUGGGAGCUUAUGUCGGGUAGUCUAUCUUUCUUCUUAGAAAAAUCAAUGGUGCUCUAAUCAGUUGACAGGAAGAGCAAUAACAGGUCUGUGAUGCCCUUAGAUGUUCUGGGCCGCACGCGCGCUACAAUGCACGGUGCAACACGUCCCCCUUCUCCCUAACGGAGCGGGUAACCGGUUGAAAUCCGGGCCUACUUGGGAUUGGGGCUUGCAAAUAUUUCCCAUGAACGAGGAAUUCCCAGUAAGCGUUGGCUCAUUUAAGUCGCGCUGAUUACGUCCCUGCCCUUUGUACACACCGCCCGUCGCUACUACCGAUUGAAUGAUUCAGUGAGAACAUUGGACUGUCGUUCUAAGGGCUUGAACUGACGGGAAGAUGUUCAAACUUGAUC
Molecule: ribosomal RNA, 1833 nt
Filed under: Starkus mixtus
Lineage: Eukaryota; Metazoa; Arthropoda; Malacostraca; Tanaidacea; Typhlotanaidae
Description: SSU rRNA
Rfam family: Eukaryotic small subunit ribosomal RNA
Source: RNAcentral